AUUUAAAUAGUUUAUAUAAAAUAUUGAUUUGUGGUAUCAAAGAUGCAAUAAUUUGUUUUAAAUA
Molecule: transfer RNA, 64 nt
Filed under: Onthophagus sp. BMNH679869
Lineage: Eukaryota; Metazoa; Arthropoda; Insecta; Coleoptera; Scarabaeidae
Description: tRNA-His
Source: RNAcentral